CUGACGAGUUUGAUCAUGGCUCAGAACGAACGCUGGCGGCAGGCCUAACACAUGCAAGUCGAGCGAGGUAGCAAUACCUAGCGGCGGACGGGUGAGUAACGCGUGGGAACGUACCCUUUGCUACGGAAUAGCCCCGGGAAACUGGGAGUAAUACCGUAUGUGCCCUUCGGGGAAAGGAUUUAUCGGCAAAGGAUCGGCCCGCGUUGGAUUAGGUAGUUGGUGGGGUAAUGGCCUACCAAGCCGACGAUCCAUAGCUGGUUUGAGAGGAUGAUCAGCCACACUGGGACUGAGACACGGCCCAGACUCCUACGGGAGGCAGCAGUGGGGAAUCUUAGACAAUGGGCGCAAGCCUGAUCUAGCCAUGCCGCGUGAGUGAUGAAGGCCUUAGGGUUGUAAAGCUCUUUCAGAUGGGAAGAUAAUGACGGUACCAUCAGAAGAAGCCCCGGCUAACUCCGUG
This 457-nucleotide ribosomal RNA is filed under the name uncultured bacterium. RNAcentral describes it as "bacterial SSU rRNA". It matches the Rfam family "Bacterial small subunit ribosomal RNA", at positions 1 to 507 of the family's 1533-position model. The record is from RNAcentral.